GUGUGUGCCGCGCGCGGGAAACGCCGUUCUCCGCUCCAGGCGUCGGCGGGCGGUGGCGAGAGCAGGUCGGCAGCCGCUGCUGCGGGGAGAAGCAGUAUCGUGCAGGGCGGGCACGCUGGUCUUGCUUACAGUUGGGCUUCGGUGGGUUUGAAGCACACAUUAGGGGGAAAUGGCUCUGUUCCUGCAGGUUUGCGCAGUCUGGGUUUCUUAGGUUUAGGGGGUUGGGUGGGUUUCUCUGGGGGUGCGGUGGGAAGCGGAUCAGUUCGGAUAACGGCCCUGAGCAAGAGUCUCUGUCCCGCUCCCGGCCUGACGCGGGGCUUCCAGCGGACACGACCAACGGUUUUAUAGGUUCAGAAAGUGUGUCUCAGAGGAGUUAGAGAAGACCGAUUAAUAGAUGACAGUGCUAAAGCCUGGAUCUCCUGAAUCCUGGGUCUGGGAUACAUGUGCAGAAUGUGCAGGUUUGUUAAUAGGCAUACGUGUGCCAUGGUGGUUUGCUGCCCCUUCAACCCGUCAUCUAGAUUUUAAGCCCCGCAUGCAUUAGGUUGGGGGAAGUUCUAUGAAAUCUAAGUUGAUGAACAUUAUUCCCCCUGCUGAUACCAAAAGUCCUGACUUGUAAGGAGGACAAAGCUGAGGUGAAAGUGUCCUAAGUUAGAUUCCUGGGAAGAAAAUUCUGAGACACAUUCUGCAGGAUGAUUAUUAGGGCUCAUCCUUGGUUUCAACACCCAUAGAAGGAAGGGGGAAGAAGAAAUCGAACAGAGAGACAGAAGUCGAGAUGCAUUUCAGGCCAGGACUCUUGGCUGAACCCACAGGAGCUCUGGAGCUAGAAUGGCCCUUCAGAGUUGUCCUGAGUUGGUCUGAGAUGGCCAGUUCUUUAUAUUCCUGCAUGGGAUAGUCACUGGAUGUCCACCCCAGGAAGGGGUGUGGCCAAGACAGUCCCUAAAAUGCCCGCCAGCACUCCCUACACCUGGAGCGACAAGACCAACAUCACAGGGGGAAUGCACUGGGUGAUGGAUCACAGCGUUCAUCCCAGAAGAUGAGGAUACAGAAUUGGCUGACAACUACGUUCUAAAUGUCAGUGUUCUCCAAAAUUCAUAUGUUGAAACUUAAUUCCCAAUGUGAUGGCAUUAGGAAGUGGGGCCUUUGGGGGAGGGACUAUAGGUCAUGAGGGUGU
RNAcentral lists this long non-coding RNA (1171 nucleotides) under Homo sapiens (human). RNAcentral's name for it is "HSALNT0101299". Lineage: Eukaryota; Metazoa; Chordata; Mammalia; Primates; Hominidae. The record is from RNAcentral.